CCUACGGGUGACAGCAGUGAGGAAUAUUGGUCAAUGGGCGCGAGCCUGAACCAGCCAAGCAGCGUGAAGGAUGACUGCUCUAUGGGUUGUAAACUGCUUUUAUACAGGAGUAAACCUAGACACGUGUGUUCUUCUGCACGUACUUUACGAAUAAGGAUCGGCUAACUCCGUGCCAGCAGCCGCGGUAAUACGGAGGAUCCAAGCGUUAUCCGGAUUUAUUGGGUUUAAAGGGGGCGUAGGUGGAUUGAUAAGUUAGUGGUGAAAGUUUGGAGCUUAACUGUAGAAUUGCAGUUGAUACUGUCGAGCUAGAGAGCAGGUGUGGUAGGCGGAAUUCAUGGUGUAGCGGUGAAAUGCUUAGAGAUCACGCAGAACACCGAUUGCGAAGGCAGCUUACUAAACUGCAACUGACGUUGAGGCACGAAAGUGUGGGGAUCAAACAGGAUUAGAUACCCCUGUAGUC
Molecule: ribosomal RNA, 460 nt
Filed under: uncultured bacterium
Lineage: Bacteria
Description: partial 16S ribosomal RNA
Rfam family: Bacterial small subunit ribosomal RNA
Source: RNAcentral